RNAcentral lists this ribosomal RNA (440 nucleotides) under uncultured bacterium. Its description in RNAcentral is "partial 16S ribosomal RNA". It matches the Rfam family "Bacterial small subunit ribosomal RNA", at positions 338 to 795 of the family's 1533-position model. The record is from RNAcentral.
CCUACGGGAGGCAGCAGUGGGGAAUAUUGGACAAUGGGGGGAACCCUGAUCCAGCGACGCCGCGUGAGUGAAGAAGUAUUUCGGUAUGUAAAGCUCUAUCAGCAGGGAAGAAAAUGACAGUACCUGACCAAGACGCCCCGGCUAACUACGUGUCAGCAGCCGCGGUAAUACGGAGGGGGCAAGCGUUAUCCGGAUUUACUGGGGGUAAGGGGAGCGUAGACGGUUAUGUAAGUCUGGAGUGAAAGCCCGGGGCCCAACCCCGGGACUGCUUUGGAAACUGUGUAACUGGAGUGCAGAAGGGGCAGGCGGAAUUCCUGGUGUAGCGGUGAAAUGCGUAGAUAUCAGGAGGAACACCGACGGCGAAGGCGGCCUGCUGGACUGCAACUGACGUUGAGGCUCGAAAGCGUGGGGAGCAAACAGGAUUAGAUACCCUUGUAGUC